AGCGAACGCUGGCGGCAGGCUUAACACAUGCAAGUCGAGCGGGCCCUUCGGGGUCAGCGGCAGACGGGUGAGUAACACGUGGGAACGUACCCUUUGGUUCGGAAUAACGCUGGGAAACUAGCGCUAAUACCGGAUACGCCCUUUUGGGGAAAGGCUUGCUGCCGAAGGAUCGGCCCGCGUCUGAUUAGCUAGUUGGUGGGGUAAUGGCCUACCAAGGCGACGAUCAGUAGCUGGUCUGAGAGGAUGAUCAGCCACACUGGGACUGAGACACGGCCCAGACUCCUACGGGAGGCAGCAGUGGGGAAUAUUGGACAAUGGGCGCAAGCCUGAUCCAGCCAUGCCGCGUGAGUGAUGAAGGCCUUAGGGUUGUAAAGCUCUUUUGUCCGGGACGAUAAUGACGGUCCCGGAAGAAUAAGCCCCGGCUAACUUCGUG
This 433-nucleotide ribosomal RNA is filed under the name uncultured bacterium. Its description in RNAcentral is "partial 16S ribosomal RNA". It matches the Rfam family "Bacterial small subunit ribosomal RNA", at positions 29 to 507 of the family's 1533-position model. The record is from RNAcentral.